This 806-nucleotide ribosomal RNA is filed under the name uncultured Acidobacteriota bacterium. RNAcentral's name for it is "bacterial SSU rRNA". It matches the Rfam family "Bacterial small subunit ribosomal RNA", at positions 8 to 796 of the family's 1533-position model. Lineage: Bacteria; Pseudomonadati; Acidobacteriota. The record is from RNAcentral.
AGAGUUUGAUCCUGGCUCAGAAUCAACGCUGGCGGCGUGCCUAACACAUGCAAGUCGAACGCGACUGAGGCUUCGGCCUCAGUUGAGUGGCGAACGGGUGAGUAACACGUGGGUGACCUACCUUCGAGUGGGGGAUAACGUCCCGAAAGGGACGCUAAUACCGCAUAACAUCCUGCCUUUGAACAGGCGGAGAUCAAAGCCGGGGAUCGCAAGACCUGGCGCUUGAUGAGGGGCCCGCGUCCGAUUAGCUAGUUGGUGAGGUAAUGGCUCACCAAGGCCACGAUCGGUAGCCGGCCUGAGAGGGCGGACGGCCACACUGGGACUGAGACACGGCCCAGACUCCUACGGGAGGCAGCAGUGGGGAAUUGUUCGCAAUGGGCGCAAGCCUGACGACGCAACGCCGCGUGGAGGAUGAAGGUCUUCGGAUUGUAAACUCCUGUUGCCCGGGACGAAUGGCUCCGACCUAAUACGUCGGAGUGUGACGGUACCGGGUGAGGAAGCCCCGGCUAACUCUGUGCCAGCAGCCGCGGUAAUACAGAGGGGGCAAGCGUUGUUCGGAAUUACCGGGCGUAAAGGGCGCGUAGGUGGCCUGCUAAGUCGAACGUGAAAUCCCUGGGCUCAACCCAGGAACUGCGUCCGAGACUGGUUGGCUCGAAUCCGGGAGAGGGAUGUGGAAUUCCAGGUGUAGCGGUGAAAUGCGUAGAUAUCUGGAGGAACACCGGUGGCGAAGGCGGCAUCCUGGACCGGUAUUGACACUGAUGCGCGAAAGCCAGGGGAGCAAACGGGAUUAGAUACCCCCGUAGUCC